This 3969-nucleotide small RNA is filed under the name Pongo abelii (Sumatran orangutan). RNAcentral's name for it is "retained intron". Lineage: Eukaryota; Metazoa; Chordata; Mammalia; Primates; Hominidae. The record is from RNAcentral.
AAAAUGACUGGAGGAGCAUGUGGGGGGUGGUGCACAGAGAUUGAGAGAAACAUCUUGGUUUAGUAAAAACCUGUCAAAGUCAGAAAACCUGUUUCUGCCCAGCUCCAUCCCAGUUGUGGUGUUUGGUCCGUGUCUUCAUCUCUGUGACCUUUCGUUUUCACACUGGCACACGCCUCAACAUCCAUUGUUAGGCAGUUGUAAGGCUCAAAUGAGCCCCAAGGCCUUUGAAAAGUUAAAAGUAUUAAAGUGUUAGAUGAACAUAAGAAGAAAUGAUUAUGCUGCCUUCAAAGCGAGCCUCCCUGUCUGAUGCACUCACUGGGCCACCUUCUCUGAGCACUUCUGAAAGGGGCCUCAUUUAUUCGUUCAUUUAUUCCAUGCUGCACAAGUUUGUUAAGCACCCACUUGUGCCAGGCAUUUGCUGUACGCUAAGGAUUCAUCAGUGAAGAGGUAGAAACGGCCCCUGCUCUUUUCAAUCUCAUAUUCGGAGGGGAGACAUAAUAAACAAGUAAUGAGAGUGUUUGUUAAUAACUGGUAUGAUCUGAUGGUCAGGAGUGGGUAGUCCAGGAGGGUACCAGGAAAGUGGCCAGGGAGAUGACAUUUGAUGGUGACCUGAAAAUGAGAAGCCAGCCUUGGGAAGAGCUGUUGCAAGAGCUUCAAGCAGAGGACAUAGCAAACUAAGUGACUCCGAGGCAGGGAAGAUUUCAGCAUGUUUGAGGAGGCCAGUGAGGCAGACCCCAGAAAGCACGUGGGAGAAUGAUAGGAGAUGAGAUGGGCAGGGUUAGCCCAUCCAGGGGCUGCAAGGUCAAGCAAGGAGUUUGAAUUUUCAGUAUAACGGAAGCCACUGGAGGGAUUUGAACAGAGGAGAGGCAUGAUCUGAUCUAUAUCUGGGGAUGUCAGUCUGGCUAGAUGGUGUGUCUGUGGCCAUGGAGUCUGGGGGCAUGAUAGAAGGGAGCAAGAGUGGAUGCAGGGAAACCAGAGAGGAGCCAGGUGUCAUUGUCCAGGUGAGGGACCAUUGGUGGCCUAGAUUAGGGUGAUGGCCAUGGAAGACCAAGAGGUGGACACAUUGGGGAUACACUAGAGGCAGAAGCACCCAAAUUACCAAUGGGUUGGAUUUAUGUGAAGCAAGGGGAAGACGAACAUUGAUUCCUGGGUUUGAGGCUGGAACAACUGGCCCCGUUUUCUGUGAUAAGAGACACUGGUGGGAUAAAAAGCAAAAGUUCUGCUUUGUACCUGUUUGUUUGUACCUGUUAGGUUUUGCUGUCUAUUGGACCCCUAGGUGGAAAUGUCACGUAUACAACUGGGUGUUCAGGAGAGGGACCAGCUGGAGAUAGAAAUGUGGGCAGUGUUGGCCUGUGUGGGAAGCGGGGCUGGGUGAGAUCAGCCUCCUGGAGAGUGCAGAUGGAGAAGAUCCAGUGAUCUUCACCAUGGGGAGGCUGGAGAGGAGAGAGGGUGGCAGAGGACACUGAAUCGGGAGACGGGAGGCAGGAUUAAACCAGGACUGCGUGGCAGGUGAUGUCUUGGGAGCCAAGAGAGAAAAGGGUUUCAAGGAUGGAAGAGUCCACUGUGUGAGAUACUGCUGGGCGGGUACAAGGCGGACGCGAAGUGUCCCUUGGAUUUGGUAACAUGGAGGUUGUUGGCAACUUUGACAAGAGCACUUCCAGCAAAGUGGGUUGAAGAUGGGAGGUGAGAAAGAGAUAGUGAUGGUGGACAAAUCGUCUUUUUGAGAAGUUUCACUGAGAAUGGGAUGGGGACUGGCUGAAACCGUGGGUUCAGGGGAGAGUUUUUAAAGAUGAGAGAGAGCGUGGCUGAGUGCUUGUGGGAGGCGUGGCAGAUGCCAGGGAGCAAAGUCCUUGAGAAGAGGCCUCGUUGAGGACAGGAGUCGUUUGCAAUUGGAACGAUGAUGGAGAAUGGGGGUGCAGAAGCUUCUGGGUUUGUGACUUGGCAGUGGUGGGUGAAGGCGUUCCUGGAAGGGUUAUUAGAUCCAGGGGAGGGAGGAGAGCUGUGUGGGUGAGAACUGGGAAAGGAAGAUUUACAGACAGAGAAUCUGAGGACUGAGAGAGUUGGCUCAUGGAGCAGGAAAGUGAGUGUACCAGGGAGAUGGUGAGACCCACAGCCCAGGCCUCUUGGCCUUCUGCCUGGCUCCUCCUCGGCUGCGCAGAUGGCUGGUGUUCUCAGAGGCUGCAUCUCAUGCCUGCGUUGUCUUCCUCUCCCCAGGACCUUUAUUGGGCUUGAGGUCACUUCAGGGCAUGCCCAGUUCCUGGACCUGGUUUCAGAGGUGGACAGAGUCAUGGAGGAAUUCGACCUCACCACUUUCUACCAGGACCCUUCUUUCCACCUCAGCCUGGCCUGGUGUGUGGGUGAUGCACAUCUCCAGCUGGAGGGGCAGUGCCUGCAGGAACUACAGGCAAUCGUGGAUGGGUUUGAAGAUGCUGAGGUGCUGCUGCGUGUGCACACUGAGCAAGUCCGCUGCAAGUCUGGGAACAAGUUCUUCUCGAUGCCUUUGAAGUGAGCACCAGAGGCCUUCCUCCUCCAGGGCCCUCUGCAGACCAGGCUGAGAUGGAGGAACCUGCUAAAAUUGAUGGAGAUGCUUCUAGCCUCCCAGUAGGAGGCCCCAGCCAUGCCUUCAACCUGGCAGGAGGUGUAGCCACUCCUCAUCCUCCCUGAGUGCUGAUAUUCUCUCUCUCUCUCUCUCUUUCUCUUCCUCUUCUUUCUCUCUCCUCUCCUCUCUCUUCCUCUCCUUUCUCUUCCUCUUCCUCUCCUCUCUCUUCCUCUCCUCUCUCUUCCUCUCCUCUCUUCCUCUCCUCUCUCUUCCUCUCCUCUCUCUUCCUCUCCUCUCUCUUCCUCUCCUCUCUCUCCCUCUCUUCUCUCUUCCCCUCCUGUCUCUCUUCCUCUCCUCUCUCUCUCUCCCUCUCUUCUCUCUUCUUCUCCUCUCUUCCUCUCCUCUCUCUCCUCCUCUCCUCUCUCUCCUCCUCUCCUCUCUCUCCUCCUCUCCUCUCUCUCUCCUCCUCUCCUCUCUCUCCUCCUCUCCUCUCUCUCCUCCUCUCCUCUCUCUCCUCCUCUCCUCUCUCUCUUCCUCUCCUCUCUCUUUCUUCCUCUCCUCUCUCUCUCUUCGUUUCUUCUCUCUCUCCUGUCUCGGCUGUUGUGGGUUGCAGGUUGGGUGCUGCUGUGUUGUGGUCCUUCCCAGAAACUACCAGUAGAGGGCAGCCUGGGCAUCCUAAUUCUUACUCUGGUUGUUACACAAAGAAAAUAUUGGGGUCACUGGCGAGCCCACCCACACUUGCCAGAAUCUCCACUGUAGUCCCCCUAACAAACAGCCCUUCACUCCUUCUCCCACUUCAGCAAUUUGUAUUUUGAUGCCAUUGGCCUCAGAUCAGAGUGUUUUAAAUCAUCACGCCCUGGCUUAUCCCUGGUCAAGCCAGGACACGGGGUGCUUCAGUGGGUCUGUCACCCUCUCUCCUUGAAGCAUGUCGCUUUUAUUUAUUUACUUUUACUCUCACCCUGCUCCUGUGCCAGCAGGGGCCACUUCAAAGCCAAGGUACAGGGUGAUAACUUGUGGUCCAGCAUCAGUUUUCUCCACUUCUUUCUCCCACUCACCCCCAGCAAGGUGCCUGGGGAGACUUGAGCAGAUGUUUCAUCUUGGCCUGGCCAGUGGCUGAAAGCCAGGCCUCCAAUGCACUGUGACCUUUGGCUUCCCCAGCAGCUUUCCCAGAGAGGCAGAGGGGCCUUCCACAGCCCGGGUUCUCCUGCUGCCUCCUGCCUGCUGCAGCUGCAGGUAUUCUGAGGGGCAACGUGGAGGAAGGGCCAGGGAUGUAUGGGAUUUUAAUUUUUUCAUCAAACCUUCCCCAUGGCAAAGAAACAGUCAGUCCUCUUCAGGUGUCUUCUGGAUUUCUGGUGAUGGAGAGAGAAAUCUUUUUAUGUUACAGUUUUAAAUUAUGUUCAACAAAUAAAAAUUGCAUUUUUUUAUUUUGG